This 2934-nucleotide ribosomal RNA is filed under the name Bacillus velezensis. Its description in RNAcentral is "bacterial LSU rRNA". It matches the Rfam family "Bacterial large subunit ribosomal RNA". The record is from RNAcentral. Lineage: Bacteria; Bacillati; Bacillota; Bacilli; Caryophanales; Bacillaceae.
CGGUUAAGUUAGAAAGGGCGCACGGUGGAUGCCUUGGCACUAGGAGCCGAUGAAGGACGGGACGAACACCGAUAUGCUUCGGGGAGCUGUAAGCAAGCUUUGAUCCGGAGAUUUCCGAAUGGGGAAACCCACCACUCGUAAUGGAGUGGUAUCCAUAUCUGAAUACAUAGGAUAUGAGAAGGCAGACCCGGGGAACUGAAACAUCUAAGUACCCGGAGGAAGAGAAAGCAAAUGCGAUUCCCUGAGUAGCGGCGAGCGAAACGGGACCAGCCCAAACCAAGAGGCUUGCCUCUUGGGGUUGUAGGACACUCUGUACGGAGUUACAAAGGAACGAGGUAGAUGAAGAGGUCUGGAAAGGCCCGCCAUAGAAGGUAACAGCCCUGUAGUCAAAACUUCGUUCUCUCCUGAGUGGAUCCUGAGUACGGCGGAACACGUGAAAUUCCGUCGGAAUCCGGGAGGACCAUCUCCCAAGGCUAAAUACUCCCUAGUGACCGAUAGUGAACCAGUACCGUGAGGGAAAGGUGAAAAGCACCCCGGAAGGGGAGUGAAAGAGAUCCUGAAACCGUGUGCCUACAAGUAGUCAGAGCCCGUUAACGGGUGAUGGCGUGCCUUUUGUAGAAUGAACCGGCGAGUUACGAUCCCGUGCAAGGUUAAGCAGAAGAUGCGGAGCCGCAGCGAAAGCGAGUCUGAAUAGGGCGAAUUGAGUACGUGGUCGUAGACCCGAAACCAGGUGAUCUACCCAUGUCCAGGGUGAAGUUCAGGUAACACUGAAUGGAGGCCCGAACCCACGCACGUUGAAAAGUGCGGGGAUGAGGUGUGGGUAGGGGUGAAAUGCCAAUCGAACCUGGAGAUAGCUGGUUCUCUCCGAAAUAGCUUUAGGGCUAGCCUCAAGGUAAGAGUCUCGGAGGUAGAGCACUGAUUGGACUAGGGGCCCCUACCGGGUUACCGAAUUCAGUCAAACUCCGAAUGCCGAUGACUUAUCCUUGGGAGUCAGACUGCGAGUGAUAAGAUCCGUAGUCGAAAGGGAAACAGCCCAGACCGCCAGCUAAGGUCCCAAAGUAUACGUUAAGUGGAAAAGGAUGUGGAGUUGCUUAGACAACCAGGAUGUUGGCUUAGAAGCAGCCACCAUUUAAAGAGUGCGUAAUAGCUCACUGGUCGAGUGACUCUGCGCCGAAAAUGUACCGGGGCUAAACGUAUCACCGAAGCUGCGGACUGUUCUUCGAACAGUGGUAGGAGAGCGUUCUAAGGGCUGUGAAGCAAGACCGGAAGGACUUGUGGAGCGCUUAGAAGUGAGAAUGCCGGUAUGAGUAGCGAAAGAGGGGUGAGAAUCCCCUCCACCGAAUGCCUAAGGUUUCCUGAGGAAGGCUCGUCCGCUCAGGGUUAGUCGGGACCUAAGCCGAGGCCGAAAGGCGUAGGCGAUGGAUAACAGGUUGAUAUUCCUGUACCACCUCCUCACCAUUUGAGCAAUGGGGGGACGCAGGAGGAUAGGGUAAGCGCGGUAUUGGAUAUCCGCGUCCAAGCAGUUAGGCUGGGAAAUAGGCAAAUCCGUUUCCCGUGAAGGCUGAGCUGUGAUGGCGAGCGAAUUAUAGUAGCGAAGUUCCUGAUUCUACACUGCCAAGAAAAGCCUCUAGCGAGGUGAGAGGUGCCCGUACCGCAAACCGACACAGGUAGGCGAGGAGAGAAUCCUAAGGUGAUCGAGAGAACUCUCGUUAAGGAACUCGGCAAAAUGACCCCGUAACUUCGGGAGAAGGGGUGCUCUGUUAGGGUGCAAGCCCGAGAGAGCCGCAGUGAAUAGGCCCAGGCGACUGUUUAGCAAAAACACAGGUCUCUGCGAAGCCGUAAGGCGAAGUAUAGGGGCUGACGCCUGCCCGGUGCUGGAAGGUUAAGAGGAGCGCUUAGCGUAAGCGAAGGUGCGAAUUGAAGCCCCAGUAAACGGCGGCCGUAACUAUAACGGUCCUAAGGUAGCGAAAUUCCUUGUCGGGUAAGUUCCGACCCGCACGAAAGGCGCAACGAUCUGGGCACUGUCUCAACGAGAGACUCGGUGAAAUUAUAGUACCUGUGAAGAUGCAGGUUACCCGCGACAGGACGGAAAGACCCCGUGGAGCUUUACUGCAGCCUGAUAUUGAAUGUUGGUACAGCUUGUACAGGAUAGGUAGGAGCCUUGGAAACCGGAGCGCCAGCUUCGGUGGAGGCAUCGGUGGGAUACUACCCUGGCUGUAUUGACCUUCUAACCCGCCGCCCUUAUCGGGCGGGGAGACAGUGUCAGGUGGGCAGUUUGACUGGGGCGGUCGCCUCCUAAAAGGUAACGGAGGCGCCCAAAGGUUCCCUCAGAAUGGUUGGAAAUCAUUCGCAGAGUGUAAAGGCACAAGGGAGCUUGACUGCGAGACCUACAAGUCGAGCAGGGACGAAAGUCGGGCUUAGUGAUCCGGUGGUUCCGCAUGGAAGGGCCAUCGCUCAACGGAUAAAAGCUACCCCGGGGAUAACAGGCUUAUCUCCCCCAAGAGUCCACAUCGACGGGGAGGUUUGGCACCUCGAUGUCGGCUCAUCGCAUCCUGGGGCUGUAGUCGGUCCCAAGGGUUGGGCUGUUCGCCCAUUAAAGCGGUACGCGAGCUGGGUUCAGAACGUCGUGAGACAGUUCGGUCCCUAUCCGUCGCGGGCGCAGGAAAUUUGAGAGGAGCUGUCCUUAGUACGAGAGGACCGGGAUGGACGCACCGCUGGUGUACCAGUUGUUCUGCCAAGGGCAUCGCUGGGUAGCUAUGUGCGGACGGGAUAAGUGCUGAAAGCAUCUAAGCAUGAAGCCCCCCUCAAGAUGAGAUUUCCCAUUCCGCAAGGAAGUAAGAUCCCUGAAAGAUGAUCAGGUUGAUAGGUCUGAGGUGGAAGUGUGGCGACACAUGGAGCUGACAGAUACUAAUCGAUCGAGGACUUAACCAAUUU